This 199-nucleotide long non-coding RNA is filed under the name Struthio camelus australis. RNAcentral describes it as "lncRNA (ENSSCUG00000004067.1)". The record is from RNAcentral. Lineage: Eukaryota; Metazoa; Chordata; Aves; Struthioniformes; Struthionidae.
AGAGCUCCAAAGGAGGAAGCUGAGCUGGAGGAUUUACCUGACAAAGGCAGUGGGACUUCAGCGUAAGGACCUAGUGCAGCCCAAGUGAAGGAGCCACAUGCACCUUUGGGUUCAGUGGUGGAAACCUCCCCCGAAACCAUCAUCUGCAGGAUCUCUCUGAGUCAGAGACAAAACCACGUAAUCUCUGCACUGUUUCUAG